Non-coding RNA from Oryza glumipatula, 193 nucleotides. The record is from Rfam. Lineage: Eukaryota; Viridiplantae; Streptophyta; Magnoliopsida; Poales; Poaceae.
AAAAAGAUAAAUUCUAGGUUUGUGUCUAACAUUUAACUGUCCGUCUUAUAUGAAAUUUUUUUAUAAUUAGUAUUUUCAUUGUUGUUAGAUGAUAAAACAUGAUUAAUAUUUUAUGCGUGACUUGUCUUUUUAUUUUUUUCAAAUAAGACGGACGGUCAAAUGUUGGACACGGAAACCCAGGGUUUGUCUUUUU